This 301-nucleotide ribosomal RNA is filed under the name uncultured bacterium. Its description in RNAcentral is "partial 16S ribosomal RNA". It matches the Rfam family "Bacterial small subunit ribosomal RNA", at positions 509 to 807 of the family's 1533-position model. The record is from RNAcentral.
CAGCCGCCGCGGUAAUACAGAGGGUGCGAGCGUUAAUCGGAUUUACUGGGCGUAAAGCGUGCGUAGGCGGCUUCUUAAGUCGGAUGUGAAAUCCCUGAGCUUAACUUAGGAAUUGCAUUCGAUACUGGGAAGCUAGAGUAUGGGAGAGGAUGGUAGAAUUCCAGGUGUAGCAGUGAAAUGCGUAGAGAUCUGGAGGAAUACCGAUGGCGAAGGCAGCCAUCUGGCCUAAUACUGACGCUGAGGUACGAAAGCAUGGGGAGCAAACAGGAUUAGAUACCCCCGUAGUCCCUGUCUCUUAUAC